Molecule: ribosomal RNA, 468 nt
Filed under: uncultured bacterium
Lineage: Bacteria
Description: partial 16S ribosomal RNA
Rfam family: Bacterial small subunit ribosomal RNA
Source: RNAcentral
GACGAACGCUGGCGGCGUGCUUAACACAUGCAAGUCGAACGGAAAGGCCCUGCUUUUGUGGGGUGCUCGAGUGGCGAACGGGUGAGUAACACGUGAGUAACCUGCCCUUGACUUUGGGAUAACUUCAGGAAACUGGGGCUAAUACCGGAUAGGAGCUCCUGCUGCAUGGUGGGGGUUGGAAAGUUUCGGCGGUUGGGGAUGGACUCGCAGCUUAUCAGCGUGUUGGUGGGGUAGUGGCUUACCAAGGCUUUGACGGGUAGCCGGCCUGAGAGGGUGACCGGCCACAUUGGGACUGAGAUACGGCCCAGACUCCUACGGGAGGCAGCAGUGGGGAAUAUUGCACAAUGGGCGGAAGCCUGAUGCAGCAACGCCGCGUGCGGGAUGACGGCCUUCGGGUUGUAAACCGCUUUCGCCUGUGACGAAGCGUGAGUGACGGUAAUGGGUAAAGAAGCACCGGCUAACUACGUG